CCGGAGCAGAGGCCUGGCAAGCCCAAGACACAGCGGAACGGAUAGAAGCGCUCGGGGUCGGUGUGCCCAGCGCAGACUCUCUGAGAAACCGGCUUCAGCGUCACUGUCUUCAGAUCCUGGGAAAUGAUGAGAUCUGGAUUGUAGCUCUUCUAUGUGAGAUUGAACCCAGGCCAUGGCAGUGAAAGGCCAGCAUCCUAACCACUAGGCCACCAGGGAACUUCAGAACCAAACUGGAAUGACUAUGAAAACCUGAAAUGACUAUGAAAUUGUUGGGUUACAUGAUAUUACACCACGUGGGAUGGGAGAACUGGACAAAGCAGUUACUAGGGAAAAGAAAAGUUCAAAACAACAAAAUUAAGAACAAAAACUCUGUGUCUGGGGACUGGAGAUUCUUAGCUGAACGAGUGGUAUUCUUGGGGGCAUUGUCGUGGUCCUCUUUUUCCAGAGGCAUAUGGGAGGGGUCUUGGGGUGGGAGACUCUUGUGAUAUUUCCUGGGAGGAAACUCCAUCCAGCUCUCUCUACUCCUGGUUUAGACAAGCACAACCCUUGCUGUGAAGGGAGUCCUUACAAAUACCCAGCUGUCUUCCUAGUUGUAAACCCAGACAUGUUUUUGAAAAAUAUCUGACCAAAUAUCUAAAGCCCAAGUCAUCUACUUCUGUCUGACUUCUAUUUCCCUGCAAGGCUGCAAGAAGGAUUUCCCUAAGCUGUCAUUGACUUUGAAUCUAUUUUCUUGUAUUCUGUAGUCAGAAAUAGAUUGAACUCCAGUUCUGACCCACCAGACAACUGGUCUACCACCUUCCUGCCAGUCACUGUGCCAGGCAUGGGAACCUCUUGCAGCUUUCACAAGAAGAGUCAGGGAUGCAAACAGAUGAAACAUGAUGAAGGCAGAGUGCAAGAAAUGCCUGAAAAGAAAGAUACAGAUGCCUGGAAAGUGCCCAGCAGAGAGCCUGGCAUUGGAAAUAUCCUAUAUAAUUACUAUCGAUAUGGAUGAGUUACAGUUCCAUUUCCUCAGGGUGAUGGAGGAAGAAUCCCCCAAAGGGAGGUGAACUGAGUUGGUGACAGCCUCUUCCUUACCUUUGAAUUUCUUCAGGCUCUUUGUGAGGGAAUCAUGUCGUGAUUUGAUGUCACUGAGUUUUUUCUCUAGGUCCAUUGAAACAGGGGUUGGGUUGAGAAAGCGAAAUGCUUCACUCCUAGGAAGAUAUGGCUGAACUGGAUGGUGAGAUCAAGGGAUGGGGUGCAGGGGAGAAAGAGCUGUGACAAAGAGGUGGGGAUGAGGUGAUGGAGCCUUGAGGGUGGGGAAGGAAAUCAGUGAGCUGAGAGUCAGGAGGCCAGGGCUAGGGAUAUGGGGCCAGGGUGAGGUGGGACAUAGUGUGAUAUGGAAAUGCAGAUGGGAGAUAAGCUAGAAAAAAGCAGAGAGGAAGAGGGCAGAGAGAUGGGGUAGGGGACCCAGGAGCCAUCUAGUUGGGCAAGGGGUCAUGCAGGAAGUGCAAGGAAAUAGGAGAAUCUGUGAUGAAGAAAUUGGAACAUAAAGAAAACAGCUCUUCUUUUGAGUAACCAACUCAGCUUAAGCUGCAGCCUAAGUACCUGACUGCAGUUAGACAGAGUAGACAGGAACUUGGGAGGGAAGAAUGUUGAGUACUUGAAUGUAUGUUAAGUAUUGUAAGAUGAAUGAAUCAGUGGGCAAAAUGCACUUGGGGUGGCCCAUCAUACCUGCACAAGGCAAUUUUGAUGUCCUAGAAGAGAAAGAGAAACAGCACAGUCUUAGCACUUGGCUGAUUCAUGGGAGCCAAGGAGAAGGUACCAACCAUGCAGGGCAUGGGGUAGAACAGGUGGAAUGAGAACAUCUCUCUUCCUAUAUGAACAUCUCCACAAAAGGUUCCUCCAGGAAGUGUCCAAUAUGCCAGUAGGCAGGAAAAUGAUCAGACCUCGAGAGGAACUAACUGAGUUGUUUGAAAAUAAGUUUUGUCUCUGAGACUACACCAGAGAAGGGAGAAGAGAGACAGGAAAAGGGCUGGAAUGGCUUUGUGGGGUCUUCCUUUAAAAAAAAAAAGAAAAGAAAUGGAUUUCUGAACUAGUGGGAAUGGGAGAUGGAUUCAGGAGGGAGCUCAGCUUAUCCUGUGUAUCACCUAGACCGCACUGUCCAGUAUGGCAGCCACCAGUCACACAUGGCUAUUGAACACUUUGAAACAUGGCUAGUACGACAAGGAACCAAAUUUUUAAAUUUUAUGAGAGUCACCAAUCCAAAUUUAAAUUAAAAAAAAAACUGAAAUAGUAUAAAAUACUUUUUCCAUUGACCACAACUAUAUUGAUUUGGUCAGAGUACAUUUAAUUCAACCAUUCAAAAUAUGAUGUCUGAACUGAGAUCUGCCAAACAUAUACCAGAUUUUAAAGACUCAAUUUUUUUAAAGGAAGAGGUUCAUAAAAUAUUUCAUUAAUACUUUAAAAAUAUUGGUUAAUGAUUGAAAUUAUAAUACUUUGGAUAUAUUGGGUAAAAUAAAAUAUUUCACUUAAUUUUACCUGUGUCUCUUUACCCUUCUAAUGUGACUACAAGAAAAAAGUUUAAGUCAUAUUUGUGGCUUGCAAAAUAAUUCUAAAUUACACAUAUAGCUCACAUUGUACUUCUAAAUUAUAUACAUUGUGUGAAAUAUAUUUGUAAAUUAUGGCUCACACAGUAUUUCUAUUGGGCAGCACUGAGCUGGGGGAAGGAAGAUAGAGGCAACUCUGGUAUCCUGCCACGUGGUCGGUGCUCUGAUCUGUAACUAGGGAUGGGUCACUGUGUUUUUACAACUUGGUCCCCAAGGGACACUCACCUGGAGCAGCUGGCCUGGCGGCAAACACUGCCUGGACUUCAGGGAAUCCUUCAGCUUCCUGAGAUAGUUCAGCUGCGACUUGGUGGAAAUGACAUAUAAUUUCUCCCCCUUGGAGAUCUCCUGACCCAGCCAGUUGAUUCGGGACAAGAGGAAGCUCUUCUCCUCUUUUAGCACCUUACGCAGUUGUCUGAAGGCUUCGAUGACCAUCUCCUUCUCUAAUUCCACCUGGUACUGGGGGCAAGAAAGUGGACAUUCAGAAGAUGAGAGGAUGGCCUCAAAGUUCCUUCUAUCCCAUUUUAUUCAAUGUUAUCAUUUUAUUAGGUUUAUUCUGAGCAACAUGCAAUGGCAGACACGGAGGAAAGGAAAUGGGAGGCGAACAAGCUUUUGAAAGCCCUUACUAUGUGCCUUGUUUUCAUUUUAGGUUAUUUAUUCAUAUUUUUUGCCUUCAAGGAUAGGUAGCUAAUACUUAAUACCUAAGUAUUAAGUAUUCAUAUUUCCAGUAGGCUUUUCAGUUUAUAAUUUGCUUUCACAUAGAUUUUUUUUUCCUUUGUACACACACCCACACACAAAACAGAUACAGAUAUUUGAGUGGGUUCAUAGCGUUUUCAUUUUCUAACUUGAGAAGUCAGUUUCUAGGUAAGUAAGGGACUGUGAGGGGCAGAAAUGGGUCUUAAAACUGGUAUUUCCUAUUCUAAGACCAGCACCAGUUUUCCUUACACUACCUGUCCCCAGGUGGAGGAGACCAAAGCAGUCAACCUACUCCAAUAACAUGAGGCUGGACGUGGAAGAUGCUAACACUGGCAAACCAAACGCUGUAGAGGAGGAGAAGGCUGGAGCACACCCUUACCCCCGAUGCCACAAUUCUUUCUGUCCCUCCUAUAGUCUAUCCCAUUCUGUAUCUGUUCCUUUGUCAAUAAGGUCUUUUUGAGUGGUCAGUGUAAUAAGGAGUUCUAGGAGUUUUGCAGAGAUACUAUUUCUGCUUUCAAGCUCAUAGACAGAGAGACCCGCACCUGAGUUUUUCUUACCAUGGAGACUUUGAUACACUGUUCACCUUGUGCCAUUGCCUGAAUUAUCUCCCUCUCCUUUUGCUGCAAGACCUCGAUUUGUGAUUGGAUCCGCCCCUGUGGGGAGAGAGUUGUCUUGGCAAGUCGUGCCUGGAGAUCUCCUGACCUCAUGAUGCCCUCCUUAUUUCUUGGGAUGGAGGGCAAGUCCUUGUGUCAUUAUUAAUAGAUCCCCCUUUCCUGUUCAAGCUGGGGGCUGGGGUGUGACGGGGGAGGAAGAACUAUGGAGCCUAAGUGACCUACAAGAAAGGAAUGUGGUAAUAAAUUAUAACUAAUAAAUUAUGACUAAUAUUUGGAUGUGCUUUGGGGUUAUCAAAGGACUUUAACAAACCUUCUCUCAUUUGUCAUACCUACGACUCUUAAGAAGUACAAUUUGUUUGACCCAUUUAAAGAGGAGGCACCUGGAUCUCAGAGAGGUAAAGUGACUCCUUGAAGGAUCUACAAAAAGUUCAUGAGUCUGAACCUGAACCUACACUUCUGACUCGAAAUUCCGUGUUCUUUCCAUCUCCAUUAUACCUUCGUUGCAACAAACAUCAGUUCUCCAGCCUUAGACUUUUGAACCUACGGGCCUGACUGCAAAUUUUCUACUCAGGUGCAAAGAUGGGGCCAUGGGUACAAACCCAGAGGGAGGAAAUGACAGUUUCCAGGUCCUCACUGAACUCUUGAUCUGAUGGGGGAACAGGGAAGGGACCCCAAAAUGCCUACCUGAUAAUUCUGGGCAGCUUCUUCUAUCAGAGUUGUGUUGUGGGUUUUGUGGUCCUUGGAUUCACGACACACCACGCAGAGGAACUUGCCAUCGACUUCACAGAAGUAAUGACAUUUCUCUCCAUGCCUUAGACAUCUCAGCUCUUCGGUUUCUGGCUGCAUCUCCGAGGGAUCCAUAGCUUGGAUUUUCUCCACCAGAUUUACCAAGAGCCAGUUGGGCGUGAUCAUGUCCCUCUUCACAAUUUUGUUGCAGAUAGGACAUUUAAGAACGCUGUCUGCUGCUUCCCCGCUCUGAGUGAUGCAACUGAGGCAGAAGUUGUGCCCGCAGUCAAUGGUAGCAGGGUGCUGCAGAAUAUCCAAGCAUAUGGGGCAAAUCAUUUCUUCUUGAAGCUUACCGGUAAACUGUUGAUGGGCCAUGAUGGGGCCAAAGGCUUCUUCAAGUCUGUAGGAAGUCGAGAAAUCAGCUGUGGGCACUGAUUCUAAGAAAAGAGAAGAUAACAGAGGCAAUGGAGGUCAGAGUCUAUUAAUUAGAGAAUCAGAGAGAGAGGAAAAGGAGAGAGGAAAAAAACAAUAGUAGAAAAGAGUCAAAAUUAGAAGGUAGGAAAUAUUAUAAAGAGGGAAACAGAUGGACAAUGCUACUUCACUGCCUCUUAAGAAUGAAUAGAUGUAGUAAAUGAAUAUACACUGCUUAUAAAAUGAGGUAAGUAUUCCUGAACCUUGGACUACUUAAGGGUGUUUAUGAGGCAGUUAACUGAGAUUAGAAGGACCAGGGCACCAAAGUCCUUUCUCAGAGGUUCAGGGAAGGAGUGGAUGGACUGGAAAAUGCUUCCCAAAAGGUCACAGACAGUUCACCAGUAAUGAUUUGAGCAUCUCUUUCAUGCAGAGCCCAAACCUUGGGAGAACAUAUGAAAAGGAAGGGAGUAAUUCUCUAUCUCUUGUAAUUUAGUUCCACACUUUUAACUAUUUUGUGCAAAUGUGGAAAAUAUUGAAGGAGGAAACAGACAGAGCUGGACUCCAUCUUAGGCCAGGCUGCGAACAUUAGGCUACACGCAUGGUCACCCUCCCAAUGGACUCUGAACUUUGUGUCCGGCGUCUAUAGAAAUGGCAUACCAAUGGAAAACCAGACCCCCGGAUAAAAGAGCCUCAGGACUUGUACUUGGACUCUCCGUUGCCUAAAAGAAUAUGCUAAUUAUCUCUAUAACAGAACAAAGUCGUAAAUUCCAUUAAGUUUUUCGGGAUAUGACCACAGUCCUGUUGAUAAAUGUCCACUGUUUAUCUAGUUUUGUGACACAUGAAUCAUGGGCUAACUUUGAUCGUAUCUCUGUUUCACCUUGUCCAGACUAGUUUCAAGGAAUUUGGGGAGGUGGGUUUGAGCAAGAACACUUAAGGUAUAUAAGGUUUUCACAAAAACUGGUCAGGGUCCUUGGCUAAGAGGAGACUCUGCCUUGGGCCCACCGCUGUAAUAAACUGCACUCCACUAUCUGCAUUGUCCUUCUGAGUGGGUUUGUUUCCUGGAAUGCAUGGCUACAAUAUAAUCACCCGCUCAGGGAGUUUCCAGUUAAAAGGAGAGGCAACCAUUCCUCCCCUGGGGAGAUUCCUAGUACAGUGGGACCAGCGAGGAACUUCCUUGCUGAAAGGUCAUUCUCUGUUCUCCAUCCUAGUUGUUACUUCCCAGCAGCACCUGGAUCAGUCUGUCCUUUUUUUUUUCCCAAACAUCUUCAACACUCUGCUGUGUCCAUGCUCAUUCGUUUUUUCUGUGUUUCUUCCUGCUUCUUGGUGCUUACUUGAUCCCUGGAUUGCCUUCCCCCAACCACCACCACCAACACUCCCUUCUGUAGCUCCACACAUUUGCAUCACAACCUUUGCUCCUUCCCUCUUAUAUAAGGGAAGGGUCCUUCCUCUCUUCCCAUUUCAUCUGGAUCCCAGCUGCCACACUUAUCUCCUCUCUCUCUCCAGCAUCUGCCAUCUGUCUCCCUCAAGAAACACAUCUUUCAUCUUUAUCUGAUCUUAAUAUUUAGGUCAGACAGGCAUUAUGGGUAAUUUAUGAUUAUAAUCAGAGUGAUUGUAUAUUUUGGCUUACUUUGGGACAGUGCUGGGUUUCACGUUGACCUGAUGUAAUGAAUAGAUCAUCCUUCCAUUCUCAAAAGUAUCCAGGUUGGAUGAUGAAUAUAUGGUUGCCUUAAUUAUAGAAACUGUUGGAAGCCAAGGCUUUCAGCAGUGUUAUACCUUCAUUUCAGAAAUGUUAUGAAAAGGCCUUCCUCUUUGUUUCCUUUGAGGUGAAAUUAAAGCAUCUUGACACUUGUAUAAUAUUUUAUAGUUUAUUCUCAUCCUAAACUGCUGUCCCCUGGAGGCAGAAUUUAACUUAUAGGUAGGUUUCAUUUGACAUAGUGAUUUUAGACAUAAUUUGUAUGACUUUAGAGAGGAUGGAUGUUUUAUUUUCCCUACCACUUCUUACUGCCUCUUGUCUGCCUGGGUCCUGAAGACAUCUCACUUUCGCCCACCCCCAGCUUUAUUGAUAUAAUGGACAUAUAGCAUUGUGAAGGCUUAAUGUGAUGUGAUGAUUUGGCACAUGUACAUAUUGUGAGAUGUUUACCACAAUAAGGUUAGUUAACACAUCCUUCACCUCACAUAAAUAACUUUUUUGUUGUUGUCAUUGCUAUGGUGAGAGCAUUAAAGAUCUAUUUUUGUAGCAACUUUUGAGUAUUUAAUAAACUAUUGUCACACACUGUA
Long non-coding RNA from Bubalus bubalis (water buffalo), 7306 nucleotides. RefSeq lists it as uncharacterized. The transcript is spliced from 2 exons. Lineage: Eukaryota; Metazoa; Chordata; Mammalia; Artiodactyla; Bovidae. The record is from RefSeq and is a predicted model, not a curated record.